CGGCACUGCAGGACCCAGUCCCGCGGCCGGCUCGCGGGAGGCGGGGCCACGUCGACCCCUGGCGGACUCGCGGCCGCUCCUUCCCACCCUUCCCACCAUCCGGGCCACUGCGCUCCCCUCUCCUUUUCUCUGGAGGGAAGGGCGGAUUGGACAGCCCCUCCUGGAGGGGUCCCUGCUCUGCCAAGCUGGGCUGGCACCGACUGGCGGGGGUGGCUCUCGAAGGACGGAGGCCUUAGCCAGACCUCUCCACCUCCCUGCCGGUUCCUCGUCCUACAACCCCGUGUCCCUGCCGGUGCCCACCUCCAGAGCGCCCGUCUGUCAGUCACCACAUUCUCCAGACUACACCCCUCCCCCGCCCACACACCCUUCUUGGAAUAAACUUAACAACCAGAGGAACUAACCCAAGCUCUGUGGUUGUCCCUCCACUCACGUCCAACAGGCGUUUUCUUCUUUUCUGCUGAGGAAGUCACAUCCAUGGCUAUAGGAUCAUUUUCUUUAUUUUGCAAAACAGAAGAAAGGAGGAAGCUGAUAUGAAAUCAAGGAACAUGGAGAACACCACCUCUUGGCCAAGCCUGGAACAUGCUGCACCUAUAACCCAGCUCAAUGUGGAGACUUGCAGAGAAGCUCGGAGGCCGUUCUUACAUCCCAGCCAGAAUUAGCAUGAAGUGCUGUAGCGAUUCAUGCUGGUCACAGUCAAGGGUGUUUAUACAAGAUGUGGCACCAACAGAAGGAUGUAAGUAUUUGGCUCCAGACUGACCGUCCUGCUCUCAAGCCUGAAGUGUUUGCACAGGAAAAGAAACACUUCUGAAACCGUGCCCAGGGCCAGUGAAAAUUCCUUGUCUGUAGCCCACUCCUGCAGCCCUUAACCCUGAGGAACACCUAGCACCCUUCUUUGUCCCUGAGCCAGCCUGACAACCCUGUCUCCCUCCUCUCUGGAGCAGAGAUCCCAGAAACCUUGCCUGUGAAUUCACACUUCACUUACUUUUGUUUCUAUUGACACCUUCGUCCUUGUUCCUGUCUCUGGUAAUAUCAUCACUCUCUUUAGUUUCAAAACAUUUCAUUACUUCAGAAGCACACCCCAGUCCCUCCUCAAUCUCACUCACAUGCCAACCACCAAUUUGCUUUCUGACUCUAUGGGUUUGCCAUCCAGAAGUGGAUAUUUCACAUAAAAGGGACCAUACAAUAUUUCACCUUUUGUGUCUAGCUUCUUUCACUCAGUGUAAUGUUUUUAGGUUCUUCCAAAUUGUAGCACGUGUCAGUACUUUAUUACCUUCUAAGGCUGAAUACUACUCUAUUGUAUUGAUAUAUCACAUGCUGUUUAUCCAUUCAUCCAUCAACGGACAUUUGCGUUAUUUCUAUCUUUUGGCUAUUGUGAAUAAUGUUGCUAUGAACAUGUGUGUACAAAUCUCUUUUCAAUACCCUGCUCUCUCUCUCUC
Molecule: long non-coding RNA, 1436 nt
Organism: Ictidomys tridecemlineatus (thirteen-lined ground squirrel)
Lineage: Eukaryota; Metazoa; Chordata; Mammalia; Rodentia; Sciuridae
Source: RefSeq, a predicted model, not a curated record